UACAGAGGUCUCGAGCGUUGUUCGGAUUCAUUGGGCGUAAAGGGUGCGUAGGUGGCGCUGUAAGUCGGGUGUGAAAUCCUGAGGCUUAACCUCGGAACUGCAUUCGAUACUGCGGCGCUUGAGGACUGGAGAGGAGACUGGAAUUCAUGGUGUAGCAGUGAAAUGCGUAGAGAUCAUGAGGAAGACCAGUGGCGAGGGCAGGUCUCUGGACAGUUCCUGACACUGAGGCACGAAGGCCAGGGGAGCAAACGGG
Molecule: ribosomal RNA, 253 nt
Filed under: uncultured bacterium
Lineage: Bacteria
Description: partial 16S ribosomal RNA
Rfam family: Bacterial small subunit ribosomal RNA
Source: RNAcentral